This 65-nucleotide transfer RNA is filed under the name Astictopterus jama. RNAcentral describes it as "tRNA-His". The record is from RNAcentral. Lineage: Eukaryota; Metazoa; Arthropoda; Insecta; Lepidoptera; Hesperiidae.
ACUUAAAUAAUUUAAAUAAAAUAUUGAUUUGUGGAAUCAAAAAUAUGAUUAAUUCAUUUUAGGUU